Molecule: non-coding RNA, 3653 nt
Organism: Vicugna pacos (alpaca)
Lineage: Eukaryota; Metazoa; Chordata; Mammalia; Artiodactyla; Camelidae
Source: RefSeq, a predicted model, not a curated record
UAUGACGUCAGGGCAUCCUCUCGCUGACAAUGAUGUCACACAGGUCUCUGGCAAAGCGCAAGGGCUCCGCGACGUCUAGAGCGGUAUCUCAUUUACGUACUUCCAUGACGUCACAUUGGGCCCCGCCUGGAGCGGAGACACUACUGCUCCUGUAUUUCCCGGUCCCACCCCUCGAACCCUGCCCAUAGACACGCCAAGAAUCGGUUCGUCCUCACGGACAGGAUCUGCAGACCCGAACCGUUGGAGGUGCCUUUAGUGAAGGCGGGUGCGCAGCGCCUCCGCUUCCGGGAUCUGGAGGCUCUGAAUGCUCUCCCAGCCCGCAGAGUUUCAGGGCACCAGAUGCCAUGGGAAUAUUCGCCCCGCCCUCCCGGAUGGGUCCUACCCACCCGCCUCCCCGCCCACUGCGCAGGCCCGGCGCGCAGGCGCAGAAGGAAGUCGUCGCCCUGAGCAGUGGUUGCUGGAGCGCGCUGCUCCGCGGAGGUUCCUGGCGGUCAGGUCGCUGCCGACUUCCGAGUCCCGCUUUCAGGGAUGACAAACUUGGGGUGACACUGGCCUGGCGGGCACACCUAGCCUUCGGCGUAUGUGAGAUGCCGACGAGGGAGAGGGCAGCUCCGGGUUAGUGCGGGCUGGAGCUCCUUGGAUUUCCUGUGGCGUCUCAAAUCCAGCGCAGCUGUGGUCAGACCGAGGUCCUUGGGAUUCGAGCCGGCAGGGAUGGUGUGACCGGGCCCUGCUCUAGACCAGAAAGUCCAGGGCGUCCCAGCCUUCUCGGGCGGGGGCUCUGAGGCAGAGGUCUUGGCCCCCAGUCAGGCGGAGCUCUUAGAGGCACACCUGCUUUACCCAUCCAGCCUGGCUUUCUGGGCCGCCUUCACAGCCAAACUGAUGGUUGGGCCCAGUUUGAAUAUGUUUUAGAUGAAAAAUUCACUACAGACAUGAGAUACUAGGAAGGGAUCAAACCUCAUGUCAGUGGCAGAGGAAGAAUUAGAAGCUUUAUUUCCUCUGAGGCCUGAAGAUCCUGUUUUGUCUAGCUUUUUCUGCUACUCACAAACUUUGGGCAAAGUCCCUACGCUUCUCUGAGCCUCAUAGUGGGGAUAAUACUCUUCCCACUUACCUCAAUCAGUUAAUGACAGGUCAAAGUCAUACAUACUUUCUCAGUAUUUUUUUUUUUUUUUACUGCUUAAACCAAAAUCUGGACCUUGAUGUGUUGCAGAACCACUUGGGCAUUUAUGAAGCACCCUGUCAGAGUAUUAUUAGAAAUACUUCUCAGCAUCCUGAAAUAGCCUGCUUCCCAAGCUGCCUUAUUCUUAGAAGAAUCUUCCUCCCAUCUUCACUAUAUUGUAACCCAGGGAUCCUGAAAUGGGAUGGAAGAAGGGUAUCUCACCUGGACUGGUGGCGUUCUUGAACCCUCCUGAACCUCCUGGAAAACUUGAAAGAAGCCUUUUUUAAAAAACUCUCUGGAGACAAAUGGAUUAAUCAGUUCACAGAUGAUCGUUAUGUUUGGUUGGGAGAGGAAGUCGGGUGACAAAAUUGCACAAGACAAAGACAAUGAGCCAGGAAGAAAUUCUGACUGUUGGGGCUAAGUUCUUGCUUUAAAUUCAGACUGCUUGAAGAAAGUCUGGAACCUCACAGGUGGCUGGGUCCUUAUGGAACUCCAGGGAAACUCCAAACCCAGGCCAUUUCCAAGGCAGCCUCUCUCCUCCCUCUGCUUUUAGGAGAGCCCAUCACUGCCUCUCUCUCCUGGGCUUCUCUAGGCUUGGAGCCAGCACCAGUCUCUGUGCCUUCAGACCCCAGAUCAAGCUCUCCAAACUGGAAUCCUGAAGCCUCCCACAGGAUUGUGUCACUAUCAGCUUCACUCCUAGAGCCGCUUCUGCUGCAUCCCAUAGAUUUUGGAUUAUCGUGCUUCCAUUUGCAUUCGCCUCCAGCUCCAAAUAACCCCGUGAUUUUGGAUGAUUGAUUAUGGGAAUGCUGCUUUUACUGUACAUCCAAGAGUCUCACAGACACGGCUCCCUCUGGCCUCAGUGGACAUCUGUGGGAGCCUGGUUUCCAUGGUGUCAGGAUAUGGAGGUCCAGGGAAUGAAGAGCCUCGGAGGAUGACGCCUGGAUUGUCGAGCUCUGGCCAGCCGCGCAAUUUGGCCAACCUUGCCAUCAAAAGCAAGAUGAAGAGCUCGCUUGUUUUCUCCUUCGCUGAGCUCCAGAGAUUUGAAGAUAUCAAUUGAUCCUGUCAGUUGCACCUGAAUAUUCUCUUUGUGGUUAGUGGAAGCCAUCCCAUUGUAAAGGAAAAACUGUAGCAUCGGAUAAUUGAACAGCUCGCCACUCCUCCAGCUCUAGUCGGAAGCCUAAGUUUAAAGUUGGGUGUAAAAAGCAUUAGGGAUACUCUCAAGGCAACGGGUUGCACGGGAGCUCUCAGGGCAGAGGGGGGCUGCCUACCAGACAAGGACGUACUAAAGGAGAAUCUGCAAUGGAUGUGAAAUCUGUACGAAGGGAAGCCUUCUGACACUUGGACUGCAAGUAUCUGGUGGGCUGCGCAGUGUGGAAAGAGCUUCUAAGACACACACUGACUCGGCUGGUCCUCUGCACAGUCCAGUGCUGGGCCUGGGGGAGGGGGUCCAUGAUGGCCUGCACCUUCCAGAUGACACCGAGGCUCCAGAGGGUCUACUGUGACAGAUCUGGGGUCACAAAGGGUGAGUUCUUUUCCCCCAAAUCCAUGCUCUUUCCACCUCCCUAUAGAAUCAUGUGCUUAUACCAGGCAUGAUCAAUGAUGAGGCAAAUACCCUAGAUUGCUAAGGUGGGGGCAGACCCCGCUUUCAGAAGGCCUGAGUGAGGGGCCAGUCUUCAGCCCGUCUCUAGUGUACACACUUAAGAAGUCUACUUCCCCUUUUUGGCCAGAUGCUCAAUUUCUGCACACACAAGAGGGGAGCCACCCCACCCUGCAGGUUCUCAGGCUGGUUAAGGGGCUGAAAUGAGAUGAGGGAGGCAGGUGGGGAGGCUCUCCUGCCGGCUGACCGACCGCACGGCGAUGCCCUGCUUCCCACGCCUGUGCCGGGAGCUGGCUCUCUCCUCAUGGCCUGGGCAAAAUACCCCUCAGAGGGACUGGACUCUCCCUCCCAGUCAAUCCAAAUAUUUAGCUUCAAGCCUGCCUCCGCUGUGCUUUGGCAAGAAGCGUUGGAGGAGGAGGCUGCUGCGAGGGGCGCUCCUUUGAAGCCCUGGGCGUCCUAGUCGUGUGGGGCCUGGGCCAAGCGGGUUGAGCUUUGAGGCCCGCAGCAGGGUUGAGACACUCUGGGGGCUGCUGACUUGGGCUGAGGGGACCCAGGGCCCAGAUCCCUGCACGGCCCUGGGCUAUGAAGGAGCUCUCUCAACUGAGAGCGGCCUCGCGCUCCUUCUCAGCCAGCCCUGGGGCCACCCCUCCCCGGGGCCUCUGCGUGCCCCGGGGAUCACUGGACUGCCCUGGAGGGUGCCAGGGGAUCUUGGCUCUCUCUCUCUCGAGAGAAAGGAUUUAUUAUUGAGCCCUGUAGUGGAUUUCUCGGGGUGCCCACUCACCGUCACUGCCAGUGAACUGCUUGGGCAGUGCUUGUAUACGCUUCUAGUCCCUGAAACUUUAGAUUCUGGAUUCUGUUUCUACUAGGAAACAUUGGACUCCUAAUAACUUAAAGCUGAUU